GUCGGCCGAGGGAAGGGC
RNAcentral lists this unclassified non-coding RNA (18 nucleotides) under Chlamydomonas reinhardtii. RNAcentral describes it as "small RNA Cre_2015". Lineage: Eukaryota; Viridiplantae; Chlorophyta; Chlorophyceae; Chlamydomonadales; Chlamydomonadaceae. The record is from RNAcentral.